GGUUUUAUAUUCAUAAUUAAUGAUUUUAAAUUGCAAAUUUAAAGGUGUAUUUUUACUAAAACCU
This 64-nucleotide transfer RNA is filed under the name Dictyla platyoma. RNAcentral's name for it is "tRNA-Cys". Lineage: Eukaryota; Metazoa; Arthropoda; Insecta; Hemiptera; Tingidae. The record is from RNAcentral.